This 86-nucleotide transfer RNA is filed under the name Planctomycetota bacterium. Its description in RNAcentral is "Planctomycetes bacterium (mine drainage metagenome) tRNA-Leu". It matches the Rfam family "tRNA". Rfam says of the family: Transfer RNA (tRNA) molecules are approximately 80 nucleotides in length. Their secondary structure includes four short double-helical elements and three loops (D, anti-codon, and T loops). Further hydrogen bonds mediate the characteristic L-shaped molecular structure. tRNAs have two regions of fundamental functional importance: the anti-codon, which is responsible for specific mRNA codon recognition, and the 3' end, to which the tRNAs corresponding amino acid is attached (by aminoacyl-tRNA synthetases). tRNAs cope with the degeneracy of the genetic code in two manners: having more than one tRNA (with a specific anti-codon) for a particular amino acid; and 'wobble' base-pairing, i.e. permitting non-standard base-pairing at the 3rd anti-codon position. The record is from RNAcentral. Lineage: Bacteria; Pseudomonadati; Planctomycetota.
GCCGGAGUGGCGGAACUGGCAGACGCGAUGGACUCAAAAUCCAUUGGGGCUCACACCUCGUGCAGGUUCGAUUCCUGUCUCCGGCA